This 254-nucleotide ribosomal RNA is filed under the name uncultured bacterium. RNAcentral describes it as "partial 16S ribosomal RNA". It matches the Rfam family "Bacterial small subunit ribosomal RNA", at positions 524 to 776 of the family's 1533-position model. The record is from RNAcentral.
UACGGAGGGGGCAAGCGUUGUUCGGAAUCACUGGGCGUAAAGGGCGCGCAGGCGGCUGCUCAAGUCAGGCGUGAAAGGCCUGGGCUCAACCCGGGAAUUGCGCUUGAGACUGGGCUGGCUUGAGUGCGGGAGAGGAUGGUGGAAUUCCCAGUGUAGAGGUGAAAUUCGUAGAUAUUGGGAAGAACACCGGUGGCGAAGGCGGCCAUCUGGACCGCAACUGACGCUGAGGCGCGAAAGCGUGGGGAGCGAACAGG